This 549-nucleotide ribosomal RNA is filed under the name uncultured bacterium. RNAcentral describes it as "bacterial SSU rRNA". It matches the Rfam family "Bacterial small subunit ribosomal RNA", at positions 355 to 896 of the family's 1533-position model. The record is from RNAcentral.
UAGGGAAUCUUCGGCAAUGGACGGAAGUCUGACCGAGCAACGCCGCGUGAGUGAAGAAGGUUUUCGGAUCGUAAAGCUCCGUUGUAAGAGAAGAACGAGUGUGAGAGUGGAAAGUUCACACUGUGACGGUAUCUUACCAGAAAGGGACGGCUAACUACGUGCCAGCAGCCGCGGUAAUACGUAGGUCCCGAGCGUUGUCCGGAUUUAUUGGGCGUAAAGCGAGCGCAGGCGGUUAGAUAAGUCUGAAGUUAAAGGCUGUGGCUUAACCAUAGUACGCUUUGGAAACUGUUUAACUUGAGUGCAAGAGGGGAGAGUGGAAUUCCAUGUGUAGCGGUGAAAUGCGUAGAUAUAUGGAGGAACACCGGUGGCGAAAGCGGCUCUCUGGCUUGUAACUGACGCUGAGGCUCGAAAGCGUGGGGAGCAAACAGGAUUAGAUACCCUGGUAGUCCACGCCGUAACGAUGAGUGCUAGGUGUUAGACCCUUUCCGGGGUUUAGUGCCGCAGCUAACGCAUUAAGCACUCCGCCUGGGGAGUACGACCGCAAAGNUG